This 73-nucleotide transfer RNA is filed under the name Minisyncoccota bacterium. RNAcentral's name for it is "tRNA-Ala". It matches the Rfam family "tRNA". Rfam says of the family: Transfer RNA (tRNA) molecules are approximately 80 nucleotides in length. Their secondary structure includes four short double-helical elements and three loops (D, anti-codon, and T loops). The record is from RNAcentral. Lineage: Bacteria; Bacillati; Minisyncoccota. RNAcentral also lists the same sequence under 1 other name.
GGGCUCGUAGCUCAGCUGGUAGAGCACUCCCAUGGCAUGGGAGGGGUCAGGGGUUCAAGUCCCCUCGAGUCCA